GAGUGUACAGCCUCAUUAUCGCCGGCCUGACACCUUACAAACGUAAAUACUCAGUAGCCGAGGUCGUUUUCAUCACAGUUUUAGACUGACACGAGUACGAUAUAUUAACUCUAAAAAAACUACUCAAGAAUUUCAAGAUGGAAACUCCAAAUAUGUGCAAAAGAUGUGACGACAAUGUUUCCAUGAAGCAGGAGGGACUAAUCUGUGACGUCUGUCGAAAUUGGUUCCAUCGCAAAUGUUUUCAAUAAUUCAGAUGUGGCAAUGACGAGGGAACAGUACAGACUAUUGAAAAAACAGGACAUUACGUUUGAGUGGGAGUGCUUUGACUGCUACCAGGCCCAGGACACUCAUCAUGACUCCAACCCAGUUGUUCCAUCCCAGCAGAUGGAACCUAGAAGCCGCUCGGAAACCAGCCCAAUACCUAGGGACAACGUCGCAUUCGCAUUCCCAGAUAUUCCGUCAGUGGUUAAUGAAUCGUCAAUCGAGGCUACUAAUCCGAGAGAAUUGUUAAGCCAAAGAGUCGAAGAAACGUGAUUCACUAUCGAGGACGCCAUCAGCCAAAGAGGUAAAGCGAAGUUUUACGAGAGGGGUGGCUACUCUUACACAGUUUAUCGCACCAACGCGAAUGGAACUGUUGCCUGGAGAUGCUCCGUAAGGCGGAAAGGGAACGUCUGCCCGGCAAAGGUCCGACGAUGAUUUCAUCAGAAAGGAAGCGCCCCAUUCACAUGGCCCUGUGGUCGGCGAGCGACAACAUAGAAAACUGAAAAGAUUGGUGGGGGAACGGGGGUUAGAGAAUCUCUACACAGCUUGUGGGAUUGUGGCUAAAAUGGCACGCAAAGAGAUCGCAGGGGGUAGAUUGCAGAUUGGCGCAGUAAAGGAGCAAUCAUUGAAAAGAUUGUGCAACAUAAAGCGACAAAACAACAGACCGUCAGACCCAAGUACAAUCAAGGAGCCCUUGCAACAUCAACACAUUCCCAAAAUUUUUUUUAAUUGACAAUGCAAUAGUCAACGACGCACGUCACAUAAUCUUUUCAACGAGAAAACAGCUGUCACUUCUGUCGAAAGCAAAAACCUGGUUCAUGGAUGGAACAUUCGAUGUGGUUAAGGGGGCAUUCUACCAAAUUUUCCAUUCAUACCUUCAUCAGGAGCGGUGGGUGCUCUGAGCAGAUUCCGUUGGUCUUUGUCCUCAUGUCCCGGCGCCGGAAAAUACAUUCAUCCGGUCUACAUUCACAUCUUCAAUGUACUCAACAACUUACUCACUCUUUGUUUUCAGGUGCA
Styela clava is the source of this 1278-nucleotide non-coding RNA. The record is from RefSeq and is a predicted model, not a curated record. NCBI's taxonomy places the organism in Eukaryota, Metazoa, Chordata, Ascidiacea, Stolidobranchia, Styelidae.